This 86-nucleotide unclassified non-coding RNA is filed under the name Gramella sp. MAR_2010_147. Its description in RNAcentral is "Flavo-1 RNA". The record is from RNAcentral. Lineage: Bacteria; Pseudomonadati; Bacteroidota; Flavobacteriia; Flavobacteriales; Flavobacteriaceae.
AUAUAGAAUUCGCGCAAGGGAUAGAAGCGGUUAGCUCCCGAUAGCAUUUUAGCGAUCGGGACUAAAAGCGGAUAGCCCGACCCGUA